GAUGAAGAAACGCAGCGAAAUGCGAUACUUGGUGUGAAUUGCAGAAUCCCGUGAACCAUCGAGUCUUUGAACGCAAGUUGCGCCUCAAGCCAUUAGGUUGAGGGCACGUCUGCCUGGGCGUCACAUAUCGUUGCCUGAUGCCAGUUUCCUCGUGAUGGGUGACUGUGCAGGGCGAAUGAUGGCUUCCCGUGAGCAUUGUUGCCUCAUGGUUGGUUGAAAAUUGAGUCCUUGGUAGGGAGCGCCGUGAUAGAUGGUGGUUGAGUGACGAACGAGACCCAAUCAUGUGAGACCCCUACCGAAUUUGGCCUUCAUGACCCACAUGCGUCUUUGGAACGCUCAUGACGAGACCUCAGGUCAGGCGGGGCUACCCGCUGAGUUUAAGCAUAUCAAUAAGCGGAGGA
RNAcentral lists this unclassified non-coding RNA (401 nucleotides) under soil metagenome. Its description in RNAcentral is "partial contains 5.8S ribosomal RNA, internal transcribed spacer 2, and large subunit ribosomal RNA". The stretch from base 1 to 123 matches the Rfam family "5.8S ribosomal RNA", at positions 35 to 154 of the family's 154-position model. The record is from RNAcentral.